Molecule: ribosomal RNA, 404 nt
Filed under: uncultured bacterium
Lineage: Bacteria
Description: bacterial SSU rRNA
Rfam family: Bacterial small subunit ribosomal RNA
Source: RNAcentral
UGGGGAAUAUUGGACAAUGGGGGAAACCCUGAUCCAGCAAUGCCGCGUGAGUGAAGAAGGCCUUCGGGUUGUAAAGCUCUUUCGCUUGUGAAGAUAAUGACGGUAACAAGAUAAGAAGUCCCGGCUAACUCCGUGCCAGCAGCCGCGGUAAGACGGAGGGGACUAGCGUUGUUCGGAAUGACUGGGCGUAAAGGGUGCGUAGGCGGCUCUUUAAGUAAGGCGUGAAAGCCCCGGGCUUAACCUGGGAAUUGCGCUUUAAACUGAGGGGCUUGAGAAUGGAAGAGGAAAGCGGAAUUCCUAGUGUAGGGGUGAAAUCCGUAGAUAUUAGGAAGAACACCAGAGGCGAAGGCGGCUUUCUGGUCCAUUACUGACGCUGAGGCACGAUAGCGUGGGGAGCAAAAAGG